This 480-nucleotide ribosomal RNA is filed under the name uncultured soil bacterium. RNAcentral describes it as "bacterial SSU rRNA". It matches the Rfam family "Bacterial small subunit ribosomal RNA", at positions 26 to 517 of the family's 1533-position model. The record is from RNAcentral.
AGGAUGAACGCUGGCGGCGUGCUUAACACAUGCAAGUCGAACGGUGAAGCCCAGCUUGCUGGGUGGAUCAGUGGCGAACGGGUGAGUAACACGUGAGCAACCUGCCCCUGACUCUGGGAUAAGCGCUGGAAACGGUGUCUAAUACUGGAUACGAACAGUGACCGCAUGGUCAGUUGUUGGAAAGAUUUAUUGGUUGGGGAUGGGCUCGCGGCCUAUCAGCUUGUUGGUGAGGUAAUGGCUCACCAAGGCGUCGACGGGUAGCCGGCCUGAGAGGGUGACCGGCCACACUGGGACUGAGACACGGCCCAGACUCCUACGGGAGGCAGCAGUGGGAAUAUUGCACAAUGGGCGCAAGCCUGAUGCAGCAAGCCGCGUGAGGGAUGACGGCCUUGGUGUAAACGUACUUUAGUACAGGAGAAGCGAGAGUGACGGUACCUGACAGAAAAAAGACAACCGGACUAACUACGUAGCCAGCAAGCG